RNAcentral lists this signal recognition particle RNA (299 nucleotides) under Neogale vison (American mink). RNAcentral's name for it is "Neovison vison (American mink) Metazoan signal recognition particle RNA (ENSNVIG00000009545.1)". It matches the Rfam family "Metazoan signal recognition particle RNA". From Rfam's summary of the family: The signal recognition particle (SRP) is a universally conserved ribonucleoprotein. It is involved in the co-translational targeting of proteins to membranes. Lineage: Eukaryota; Metazoa; Chordata; Mammalia; Carnivora; Mustelidae. The record is from RNAcentral.
GCUGGGCACAGUGGCAUGUGCCUAUAGUCCCAGCUACUUGGGAGGCUGAGGCAAAAGGAUCGCUUGAACCCAGGAGUUCUGGGCUGUAGCGCGCUAUGCCGAUCAGGUGUCCGCACUAAGGUCGGCAUCAAUAUGGUGAACUCCUGGGAGCAGGAGACCACCGGGUUGCCUAAGGAGGAGUGAACUGGCCCAGGUCAGAAAUGGAGCAGGUCAGAACUCCCGAGCUGAUCAGUAGUGGGAUCGCACCUGUGAAUAGCCACUGCACUCCAGCCUGGGCAGCAGAGCGAGACCCCGUCUUU